Molecule: ribosomal RNA, 432 nt
Filed under: uncultured bacterium
Lineage: Bacteria
Description: partial 16S ribosomal RNA
Rfam family: Bacterial small subunit ribosomal RNA
Source: RNAcentral
ACGAACGCUGGCGGCAUGCCUAACACAUGCAAGUCGAACGAGACCUUCGGGUCUAGUGGCGCACGGGUGCGUAACGCGUGGGAACCUGCCCUUAGGUUCGGAAUAACUCCCCGAAAGGGGUGCUAAUACCGGAUCAUGUCUUCGGACCAAAGAUUUAUCGCCUUUGGAUGGGCCCGCGUCGGAUUAGCUAGUUGGUAGGGUAAAAGCCUACCAAGGCGACGAUCCAUAGCUGGUCUGAGAGGAUGAUCAGCCACACUGGGACUGAGACACGGCCCAGACUCCUACGGGAGGCAGCAGUGGGGAAUAUUGGACAAUGGGCGAAAGCCUGAUCCAGCAAUGCCGCGUGAGUGAUGAAGGCCUUAGGGUUGUAAAGCUCUUUUACCCGGGAUGAUAAUGACAGUACCGGGAGAAUAAGCUCCGGCUAACUCCGUG